Molecule: ribosomal RNA, 373 nt
Filed under: uncultured Glomeromycotina
Lineage: Eukaryota; Fungi; Glomeromycota
Description: LSU rRNA
Source: RNAcentral
UUGAAAGGGAAACGAUUGAAGUCAGUCGUACCUGUGGGUAAUCAGCCUUUUGGGUGUGAUUUUGUGGAGUGUGAGGAGUUAAACGCCUUCAUGCCUGCAUAUUCGUGCACUUUGGGUGUAUUUACCCGUGUGGUAAGUUAACAUCAAUUUCGGUGGUCAUAAAAUGGCUGGAGGAAUGUAGCUUCGAUCUCGUAUUGAAGUGUUAUAGCCUUCGGUAGAUGUGAUGAUCGGGAUUGAGGAUUGCAACGGAUACCCCUCGGGGCUACCUGUCUGAUCUCUGAUCGUUGCUCUGGUGCCGAAAGCUUGCUUACGGUUAUCAAAGUCGAUGGUCAAUAGGUUAGAAUGGGUUAAAUUCGUUAAGGAUGUUGACGUA